AUAUUGGACAAUGGGGGCAACCCGGAUCCAGCCAUGCCGUGUGUGUGAAGAAGGCCUUCGGAUUGUAAAGCACUUUAAGUUGGGAGGAAGGGCUUUAGGCUAAUACUCGGAAGUUUUGACGUUACCAUCAGAAGAAGAUCCGGCCAACUCGGUGCCAGCAGCCUCGGUAAUACAGAGGGUGCAAGCGUUAAUCGGAAUUACUGGGCGUAAAGCGCGCGUAGGUGGUUCAGUAAGAUGGGUGUGAAAUCCCCGGGCUUAACCUGGGAACUGCUUUCAUAACUGCUGAACUAGAGUACGGUAGAGGGUAGUGGAAUUUCCUGUGUAGCGGUGAAAUGCGUAGGUAUAGGAAGGAACACCAGUGGCGAAGGCGACUACCUGGACUGAUACUGACACUGAGGUGCGAAGGCGUGGGGAGCAAACAG
This 422-nucleotide ribosomal RNA is filed under the name uncultured bacterium. Its description in RNAcentral is "partial 16S ribosomal RNA". It matches the Rfam family "Bacterial small subunit ribosomal RNA", at positions 361 to 775 of the family's 1533-position model. The record is from RNAcentral.